ACCACAAUAAGUAAUUUGGAACAGAGGGAGUACGUGUUUACUAGCUUUGUGGUCUUAAUCAGGAAGUGAGCAUGCAGAGAAUAUAUAUAGCUUUAAUUUCUCAUCUCUGAAUUAUGUGCUGCAUAUUUUGGACUUGUAUAUAACUACCCAAGACAUAUGGUUCGUGUGUAUAUUGCUCAUUUCUUCUAAUCGUCUUGUUUGCACAAUUAUUCGUGUGGAUUACACCGUCCUAGCUAGAUGGGGUCGUUCAUGGUGGCAACAUGUGACGUGAAGACAUACGUACAUGAUUAGCGAGUAAACAAAACGGGGCAUCUCCUCCGGCUUAUCCAGCCCGAGAUGGAGGCCGACCCUCCACGGACAGGGACGUCCAUGUGAUCCAUCCACCCAUGCGACGACACACAGCAUGAGGGCCUGUUCGGUUGCAAGAGUUUUGAAGAGGAUUGGAGUGGAUUGGGGAGGAUUAAAUCCCCUAUAAGUCAAAGUUCACCUCAAUCCCGUCCAAACCUCUCCAAUCCUCUCCAAGAGAGGUUUAAACGAACAUAGCCUGAAGGGAGGAAACCACAAAGCCGAAACCUCCGACCCCGACCAAGAACUGGAGGGUUUCGUCAUACUCCAGUUGCUACCUGCUGCGUGCACAACUUCCGAUCAUAGGCCAGAAGCACGCACGCACGCAUACACGCACGUUGUGGGUAGGAUCAACGCGCCGGGCGCUUUCGUGGACGGACACCAUCGGCUCGUCCGCAAGUGGUGGUGGCGGGGGUCGAUCGGAUGGAGGUGCGGCGUCAGGUCUCGCCGUCGCCGCACAGUGCCGAGUCCUUUUCCUUGUCUCUGCGGUGGUUGGAGUUGCCGCAUGGCACUAUGGCAGGAUGAUGAGCAGCCGACCAGCCUCCAGCUUCCUCUUCUCUUUCUUCCUUUCUCACGGGGUCUUCGUGGAAGCCAAGGCCAAGCUGUGACCUACCUGCAGGGACAAGAAGAAACGUCACGAAGAGUCAUUGUGUUGCUGGCAGCCGCACGUUACAGUGCUCUAGUGAUUGCACGGUUGCGCCUCCCUUUGGUCGUGCGGUUUAUGAACCAAACCUCAAAAGCAGCCGCAGAUUCCCAAUUCUCCAUCGGUCGAAACAUAUUAUGCAACUGCCAACUGCAAGUGCCUGCCUCGUGAGAAGUGAUUCCAAGGUCAGAUCGCCGAUGGAUGGAUGCUUGAUCGAGCCUGUGUGUGGGAUUAUCAUCAGUGGGUUUUGGACGAUGCGGUUCCUGCGAGCAAAAGCGCAAAAGAGCAGAGGAUGAGAUACGAGGCGGCCGGAGGAUUGGUGGUCGUCGGAGACGGGUAGCGAAGUCAAGCAUGCAUGUGCAAGCUGUGUAUGCAUGCAUCGUGCUCGGAAAGUGUAGAAAGGGAAAAGCGUUUGCUUUGCUAGGUGCUAGUGCUAGUGCUGCUGCUAGCUUUGGCUGGCUUCAUUGGUUUUCUGGAAGUGUUAUCCUCAGCCUGAUUUGAAUUAUAUAGUUGGUUGGAUUGGAUCGCUUUUGGGACGCUUCCAAAAUAGUUUGGACCGUUCACAUUUCAUUUUGGUCCAAGGUCCAGGAUUGACUAGCUUGCCUUUCCUUUAGAAUUUUCUUUUACCCGCGUCAUAUUGUUGAUUCCAUGAAGGAAAAAAAAAUACCGAUUAUACGCUU
Long non-coding RNA from Triticum aestivum (bread wheat), 1668 nucleotides. RefSeq lists it as uncharacterized. The transcript has 2 exons. The record is from RefSeq and is a predicted model, not a curated record. Lineage: Eukaryota; Viridiplantae; Streptophyta; Magnoliopsida; Poales; Poaceae.